UGCAGGAUCGGGCUGCUGUUCUGCCUGUAUACGUGUGCGCGAGAGAAAUGGUUGCGAAGUGGGCGUUGAUUGGGGGGGCUGUGGUCCUU
This 89-nucleotide non-coding RNA is filed under the name Palpitomonas bilix. The record is from RNAcentral.